AUUGAACGCUGGCGGCAGGCCUAACACAUGCAAGUCGAGCGAGCGGCGGACGGGUGAGUAAUGUAUGGGAAUCUGCCUGAUAGAGGGGGAUAACUACUGGAAACGGUAGCUAAUACCGCAUACUAUCAGAUGUGCCCAGAUGGGAUUAGCUAGUGGGUGGGGUAAAGGCUCACCAAGGCGACGAUCCCUAGCUGGUCUGAGAGGAUGAUCAGCCACACUGGGACUGAGACACGGCCCAGACUCCUACGGGAGGCAGCAGUGGGGAAUAUUGCACAAUGGGCGCAAGCCUGAUGCAGCCAUGCCGCGUGUAUGAAGAAGGCCUUCGGGUUGUAAAGUACUUUCAGCGGGGAGGCGUUACCCGCAGAAGAAGCACCGGCUAACUCCGUGCCAGCCGCCGCGGUAAUUC
This 406-nucleotide ribosomal RNA is filed under the name uncultured bacterium. RNAcentral describes it as "partial 16S ribosomal RNA". It matches the Rfam family "Bacterial small subunit ribosomal RNA", at positions 30 to 526 of the family's 1533-position model. The record is from RNAcentral.